RNAcentral lists this ribosomal RNA (1335 nucleotides) under uncultured bacterium. Its description in RNAcentral is "partial 16S ribosomal RNA". It matches the Rfam family "Bacterial small subunit ribosomal RNA", at positions 8 to 1328 of the family's 1533-position model. The record is from RNAcentral.
AGAGUUUGAUCCUGGCUCAGGAUGAACGCUAGCUAUAGGCUUAACACAUGCAAGUCGAGGGGCAUCAUGAUCGAAGCUUGCUUUGAUUGAUGGCGACCGGCGCACUGGUGAGUAACGCGUAUCCAACCUGCCCGCCACUGGGGAAUAGUCCCCCGAAAGGGGGUUUAAUGCCCCAUGUCUCCUCCUGAGGGCAUCCGAAAGAGGGGAAAGGAAUCCGGUGGCAGAUGGGGAUGCGUCCGAUUAGCUUGUCGGCGGGGUAACGGCCCACCGAGGCUACGAUCAGUAGGGGUUCUGAGAGGAAGGUCCCCCACAUUGGAACUGAGACACGGUCCAAACUCCUACGGGAGGCAGCAGUGAGGAAUAUUGGUCAAUGGGCGGAAGCCUGAACCAGCCAAGUCGCGUGAAGGAAGACGGUUCUAUGGAUUGUAAACUUCUCUUGUUCGAGGGUAAAGUAAGAGAUGCGUCUCUUAUUGCAAGUAUCGGACGAAUAAGCAUCGGCUAACUCCGUGCCAGCAGCCGCGGUAAUACGGAGGAUGCGAGCGUUAUCCGGAUUUAUUGGGUUUAAAGGGUGCGUAGGCGGGAUGUUAAGUCAGCGGUGAAAGCGUGUUGCUCAACAAUACCGAGCCGUUGAAACUGGCGUUCUUGAGUGUAAACGAGGUAGGCGGAAUGUGAUGUGUAGCGGUGAAAUGCAUAGAUAUGUCACAGAACUCCGAUUGCGAAGGCAGCUUACCAGCAUACGACUGACGCUGAGGCACGAAAGCGUGGGUAUCAAACAGGAUUAGAUACCCUGGUAGUCCACGCAGUAAACGAUGAAUACUAGCUGUUGGCGAUAUAAUGUCAGCGGUACAAGGAAAGUGUUAAGUAUUCCUCCUCGGGGGGGACGCACGCGCAAACGAAGAAACCCAAAGGAACUGCCGGGGGCCCGCACAAGGCGAGGAACAUGUGGUUUGAUUAGAUGAUACGUGAGGAGCCUUCCCCGGGCUUGGAAGAUAGCGGCGAUCCUGCAAAGAGGUUUUCCUAUCGGGGUCGCAAAAUAGGAGCGGCAUGGUUGCUAGUCAGUUAGUGACGCGAGAGGUUGGGGGUGAAGUGCAAUUAACGAAGCGCGACCUCUCCGUUGCUUAGUUGCCAGAGUGUAAUGGCGGGAACUCCAGCCAGGUUUCUAGUGUAGGAAAGAGGCGGGGGGGGAAGACCAAAAAACAGCAGGGCCCUCACUUCUGGGGCGCCACACGUGUUACAAUGGUAGGUACAGAGGGUUGCUACCCGGUGAAGGGGUGGUAAUUUCAUAUAACCCAUAUCAGUUAGGAAUGGACUCGGCAACUCCACUCCAUGAAGGUG